AUUGAACGCUGGCGGCAUGCCUUACACAUGCAAGUCGAACGGCAGCACGGGAGCUUGCUCCUGGUGGCGAGUGGCGAACGGGUGAGUAAUACAUCGGAACGUACCCAGGAGUGGGGGAUAACGUAGCGAAAGUUACGCUAAUACCGCAUAUUCUGUGAGCAGGAAAGCGGGGGAUCGCAAGACCUCGCGCUCUUGGAGCGGCCGAUGUCGGAUUAGCUAGUUGUGGAGGUAAAAGCUCACCAAGGCGACGCUCCGUAGCAGGUCUGAGAGGAUGAUCUGCCACACUGGGACUGAGACACGGCCCAGACUCCUACGGGAGGCAGCAGUGGGGAAUUUUGGACAAUGGGGGCAACCCUGAUCCAGCCAUGCCGCGUGAGUGAAGAAGGCCGUCGGGUUGUAAAGCUCUUUCGGCGGGGAAGAAAUGGCAACGGCUAAUAUCCGUUGUUGAUGACGGUACCCGCAUAAGAAGCACCGGCUAACUACGUGCCAGCCGCCGCAGUAA
RNAcentral lists this ribosomal RNA (502 nucleotides) under uncultured bacterium. Its description in RNAcentral is "partial 16S ribosomal RNA". It matches the Rfam family "Bacterial small subunit ribosomal RNA", at positions 30 to 523 of the family's 1533-position model. The record is from RNAcentral.